RNAcentral lists this ribosomal RNA (495 nucleotides) under uncultured bacterium. RNAcentral's name for it is "partial 16S ribosomal RNA". It matches the Rfam family "Bacterial small subunit ribosomal RNA", at positions 28 to 507 of the family's 1533-position model. The record is from RNAcentral.
GACGAACGCUGGCGGCGUGCCUAAUACAUGCAAGUAGAACGCUGAAGGAGGAGCUUGCUUCUCUGGAUGAGUUGCGAACUGGUGAGUAACGCGUAGGUAACCUGCCUGGUAGCGGGGGAUAACUAUUGGAAACGAUAGCUAAUACCGCAUAAGAGUAGAUGUUGCAUGACAUUUGCUUAAAAGGUGCAAUUGCAUCACUACCAGAUGGACCUGCGUUGUAUUAGCUAGUUGGUGGGGUAACGGCUCACCAAGGCGACGAUACAUAGCCGACCUGAGAGGGUGAUCGGCCACACUGGGACUGAGACACGGCCCAGACUCCUACGGGAGGCAGCAGUAGGGAAUCUUCGGCAAUGGACGGAAGUCUGACCGAGCAACGCCGCGUGAGUGAAGAAGGGUUUCGGAUCGUAAAGCUCUGUUGUAAGAGAAGAACGAGUGUGAGAGUGGAAAGUUCACACUGUGACGGUAUCUUACCAGAAAGGGACGGCUAACUACGUG